GCUUAUGGAGUUUAACAGUAUGCUAUUCAUGGCAACAUCUUGACAAGGUAAAGACUAAUAUAUCAUUUGUUUGUGCCUCUCGUCUUCAGGAAUCAAAAUUAUUUUCUCAUUCAAGAAGAUAUUUUGUGAUAUUUUAGGACGUUAUAUAUCUUAAUGGGUUGUGUCAUAUUUAGUAUUUAAGACGUUAUAUAUCUUAUAUGCCUGGAUUUUUUUUUUAAACAUACAGGCUGAUCAACUGCAAGUACACGUUAUGGUAGUUUUCUAUUUCAUAUUCCAUAGUUCCACUGAUGUUUUUUCAACCUUAUUUCCAAAUACUUGCAGCUGGCUCCUAGGCAUCAAACUGUUCUUUUACCAGUUAACAUCCACUUCAGUAUACUGUUCAGUUUUAUGGGACAUUGGUUUUCUGUUUUAAUUCUAUUCUUUUGUUUUGAUUUGGCACAGGUAUGUUUAUUUUCGAAGUUUUUAAUGGCACGGAUAUGCAAUUAAAGUGCUUUGUUGUUAUAUUGUUGAAUAAUUGUGUCGGCCAUGCAUUUCUGAUGAAAAAACUUACUCUCUGCUAUUUGGCCGAGUGCAGACCUUUCCAAGUAGUUCAAUUAGGCCCAGAUUGGGAUAAAUGGCACAUACAUGCUCCUGGGAAUGUAGAUGUUUUUUGUGGAAGAAUUUCUCCCUCUCUCUCAUCUCAUUUGGAUGAACUUGCCACACCAUGCAGAGCUUGACCGAGACGAAUGAUGUGUAUCUGCAGAGGGGACGAGAAGGAGACAGGAAAGAACGGAUUUCGUGAACUGAAGUAGAAUAUGAAUUCCUUUCGUGCAGUUCUAUUUCAUUUUCUUGUCCGAGCGGCAACUACCUCUGGAGUUUCAGUAAAAUACCUUUCCUUGUGUAUUUCCUUCUCGAAGGCUCAUCUUUCAUGCUUGUUAUAUCUCUUUGCAGCGAUGCCUUGUUUCCCCACAAUCUCAUCGAAGAGAGGGUUUACUGGAAAGAGCAGAAGAAGAGGGCUCCUUCUAUGAGGAACCACGUCGAGAGGAGGUAAAUGAAGGAAGC
Molecule: long non-coding RNA, 1041 nt
Filed under: Spirodela polyrhiza (greater duckweed)
Lineage: Eukaryota; Viridiplantae; Streptophyta; Magnoliopsida; Alismatales; Araceae
Description: long non-coding RNA (SPOL_LNC002024)
Source: RNAcentral